Molecule: small RNA, 109 nt
Filed under: Escherichia coli
Lineage: Bacteria; Pseudomonadati; Pseudomonadota; Gammaproteobacteria; Enterobacterales; Enterobacteriaceae
Description: partial RtT sRNA
Rfam family: RtT RNA
About the family: This family represents a bacterial cis-regulatory element known as RtT RNA. The exact function of RtT is unknown although it is thought that it may be involved in changing the cellular response in relation to amino acid starvation.
Source: RNAcentral
UGCAUCUGCAGCUCAUGAGGAUGAGAACCUCCGGGGGCAGGGAGGUUCGACUCGAGCGAAGCGAGAGAACGUUGCGCCAGCAACGGCCCGCAGGGCGAGCCACGAAGUG